RNAcentral lists this transfer RNA (72 nucleotides) under Vibrio vulnificus. Its description in RNAcentral is "tRNA-Lys". It matches the Rfam family "tRNA". Rfam says of the family: Transfer RNA (tRNA) molecules are approximately 80 nucleotides in length. The record is from RNAcentral. Lineage: Bacteria; Pseudomonadati; Pseudomonadota; Gammaproteobacteria; Vibrionales; Vibrionaceae.
GCAAGUUUAGCUCAGUGGUAGAGCGAAUGACUUUUAAUCAUCGGGUCGUCGGUUCGAUUCCGUCAACUUGCA